This is a long non-coding RNA of Actinia tenebrosa (Australian red waratah sea anemone), 1247 nucleotides long. RefSeq lists it as uncharacterized. The record is from RefSeq and is a predicted model, not a curated record. Lineage: Eukaryota; Metazoa; Cnidaria; Anthozoa; Actiniaria; Actiniidae.
CACCUUACUGCAACCUCACCCUACCACGUAAGCGAUUGACAUACACCCGCAAACAUGCAAACGAUCUAUCCAUCUUCACCAACACCGGAUAUGACGUACGACACGCUGUGGGCGAGCCAAUCAACGUUGUUGGUGAGGGAAAAGCCAAAUGUCUCAAUUACCGCAUUGGGGUAUAAAAGGACAAAAAAUAUUUCAACCAGAAUUAAACUGCAGCAGUAUUGUACUAGGUUACUAGGACUCGUAGCUUGUAUUCGCGAUUAUUUUAUUCCCAUCAGUUGCAUACCAGAGGACGGACAAAGAUAAUGGACUCGUUGAAGACCGUGAAAACUCACAGAGAAGAAAAAAGCUCGACUUUCAAGGAGCUGACCCAAGAAUCUUCUUCGACGACAGGAACGAAUACUGRAAGACAAAUAGUUGGUCUGAAUUAUACCAGAGAUAAUCGUGCAGCCAGACUAUUAUCCUGUCAAGAAGUGAUGUUUGAAUACAGUAUUGUGGUGGUAGUACUUGGGUGUUUCUUGCUGACAGCGUGGCUGAGAAUCUUAUUAAAAAAUCCAACUUUUCAGAACAAUACACUCGUCCGGCUAUGAGAAGUGAAGCACUUAUUCAAACUAUCGUGAAGUAAGUCUUGAUAGCUCGUUCAGAAAGUUCGCCAGUCGGGAGAUUCGGGGCUUUAUUUCUGUGCGGAGAAUUCCUUCACCGAAGAAUUUCAGAAAAAGGAAUGACUAAACAUUAACUUCUUUCAGCAAGACGGCCGCUGUCAAAGUUGAAAACAAAUCUGAAGUGGUAUCRCUUUCGAGAACUGUAAAAGUCAGUUACUACUGGAAAAUCGUUUAGUGUAUACAGACUUCAUAUACCGAUGCUUUCUACAAAAUCAGGAAAAACCUGAAGACUUAUUAUUUCCCAAUUUCACAAAGCAUGAUGAAAUAUAUAUUGCAAUCACUGUAUCACGCGAGAGAUUAACUCAGCUAUACAGCUAGUAUUUAUUGCGCGUGUUAGGAGGAUUGAUGAUGUAAAAACUGAAGUCAUUUGCAAAGGCCAGGAAAAACCGCUGAGCCUUCCAGCCAAGCAAAUCCUCAACUCACCUUAACUUAUAACAAUUAUUUAGUUUGAGGCAUAAUGUCUGUAUUUACCACUUGUGAAAACUUAUUUAGUUUGUACUAUGUAUAUGUAUACUAUUUAUAUAAUAUAAAAUAUUUGAUGUAUAAGAUCAUAGUUAUUAUAAACAAAGAAAAAAUUUAUGACUUCUA